GCAACUCGGCAACUCGACUCCAUGAAGUCGGAAUCGCUAGUAAUCGUGGAUCAGAAUGCCACGGUGAAUACGUUCCCGGGCCUUGUACACACCGCCCGUCACACCAUGGGAGUGGGUUGCAAAAGAAGUAGGUAGCUUAACCUUCGGGAGGGCGCUUACCACUUUGUGAUUCAUGACUGGGGUGAAGUCGUAACAAGGUAACCGUAGGGGAACCUGCGGUUGGAUCACCUCCUUA
This 235-nucleotide ribosomal RNA is filed under the name Enterobacter hormaechei. RNAcentral describes it as "partial 16S ribosomal RNA". It matches the Rfam family "Bacterial small subunit ribosomal RNA", at positions 1300 to 1533 of the family's 1533-position model. Lineage: Bacteria; Pseudomonadati; Pseudomonadota; Gammaproteobacteria; Enterobacterales; Enterobacteriaceae. The record is from RNAcentral.